This 405-nucleotide ribosomal RNA is filed under the name uncultured bacterium. RNAcentral's name for it is "partial 16S ribosomal RNA". It matches the Rfam family "Bacterial small subunit ribosomal RNA", at positions 30 to 526 of the family's 1533-position model. The record is from RNAcentral.
AUUGAACGCUAGCGGGAUGCUUUACACAUGCAAGUCGAACGAGUGGCGGACGGGUGAGUAAUAUAUCGGACCGUGCCCAGUAGAGGGGGAUAACUACUCGACAGAGUGGCUAAUACCGCAUAAUAUGGGAGCGGCCGAUAUCGGAUUCGCGAGGUGGUGGGGUAAAGGCUCAACAAGGCAACGAUCCUUAGGUGGUUUGAGAGGACGACCAGCCACACUGGGACUGAGACACGGCCCAGACUCCUACGGGAGGCAGCAGUGGGGAAUUUUGGACAAUGGGGGAAACCCUGAUGCAGCCAUGCCGCGUGUAUGAGAAGGCCUUAGGGUUGUAAAGUACUUUUGGCAGAGAAGCGGUAUCUGCAGAAGAAGCACCGGCUAACUACGUGCCAGCCGCCGCGGUAAUAC